AGUAGCAUACUGAGUCGCAGACGUUGAGUAUAAUGUGGGAAUCUGCCUUUUGGUUUGGAAUAACACGGGGAAACUUGUGCUAAUACCGAAUAAGCCUUUACAGGGAAAGUUUUAACGCCGAAAGAUGAGCCCGCACUUGAUUAGCUAGUUGGUAAGGUAAAAGCUUACCAAGGCAAUGAUCAAUAGCUGUUCUUAGAGGAAGACCAGCCACAUUGGGACUGAGACACGGCCCAGACUCCUACGGGAGGCAGCAGUGGGGAAUCUUGCACAAUGGGGGAAACCCUGAUGCAGCGAUGCCGCGUGAGUGAAGAAGGCCUUUGGGUUGUAAAACUCUUUCGUCGGGGAAGAAAAUGACUGUACCCGAAUAAGAAGGUCCGGCUAACUUCGUGCCAGCAGCCGCGGUAAUACGAAGGGACCUAGCGUAGUUCGGAAUUACUGGGCUUAAAGAGCUCGUAGGUGGUUAAAAAAGUUGAUGGUGAAAUCCCAAGGCUCAACCUUGGAACUGCCAUCCAAACUUUUCAGCUAGAGUGUGAUAGAGGUAAGUGGAAUUUCUAAUGUAGAGGUGACAUUCGACAGAUAUUAGAAAGAACACCAAAUGCAACGGCACUUUACUGGGUCACUACCUGACCCUGAGGAGCGAAAGGUGGGUUGCGAAGAGGAUAAAUUCCCCGUAAUCCAUGCGGCAA
RNAcentral lists this ribosomal RNA (686 nucleotides) under uncultured Alphaproteobacteria bacterium. Its description in RNAcentral is "bacterial SSU rRNA". It matches the Rfam family "Bacterial small subunit ribosomal RNA", at positions 82 to 805 of the family's 1533-position model. The record is from RNAcentral. Lineage: Bacteria; Pseudomonadati; Pseudomonadota; Alphaproteobacteria.